Non-coding RNA from Trichonephila clavata, 72 nucleotides. Lineage: Eukaryota; Metazoa; Arthropoda; Arachnida; Araneae; Nephilidae. The record is from the annotation of a GenBank genome assembly.
GUCUCUGAGCAUAAUGGAUAGUGCUUUGGACUUCUAAUCCAAAGGCCAUGGGUUCGAAUUUCACCUGGGAUG